GGAGCUUGCUCCUGAAGAUUAGUGGCAAACGGGUGAGUAAUACAUAGGAAUCUACCUAACAGUAUGGAAUAACCUUGGGAAACCAAAGCUAAUACCAUAUAUUACCGAUUUAUCGGGAAAGAUUUAUCGCUGUUAGAUGAGCCUGUGGCGGAUUAGCUAGUUGGUAGGGUAAUGGCCUACCAAGGCAAUGAUCUGUAGCUGGUCUGAGAGGAUGAUCAGCCACACUGGGACUGAGACACGGCCCAGACUCC
RNAcentral lists this ribosomal RNA (251 nucleotides) under uncultured bacterium. RNAcentral's name for it is "partial 16S ribosomal RNA". It matches the Rfam family "Bacterial small subunit ribosomal RNA", at positions 75 to 339 of the family's 1533-position model. The record is from RNAcentral.